RNAcentral lists this long non-coding RNA (2191 nucleotides) under Triticum aestivum (bread wheat). RNAcentral describes it as "long non-coding RNA (TAES_LNC020349)". Lineage: Eukaryota; Viridiplantae; Streptophyta; Magnoliopsida; Poales; Poaceae. The record is from RNAcentral.
GCAGAUGAAGAUGUUCCGAAAUGAGUGGCGUGACGUGGUGCUCAUCCAUAGGCAAUCCAUCCCACCGUGCUAGUAUGUAGUGGGAACACAGCUCCACAACCUCUCUGGUCUUGUGUUCUACUGCGCUUAUUAAACCUUGUGAAGAAGAAAUAUUAUCAAUCAUGUAUCUCUCUAUUAACAUCCACUCGCUCAAUUGAUCGGCUGUGGUAGUAAUAAAUGUGUUAGGAAGUUAGAAAGAUAAAAAAGAUAUGUAUGCCUACUCAAAUGGCACUUGGUGUAGCAUUAGUAAAUUCAUACACCUGUGGGUAGGUUGAAAGGCCAGGAUUUGUUCUUCUCCAUGAGAUGCUCUCUGGUAACACCGAAUUGAUGGGUGAAGAGGGUUGUUUUUUAUCUAUUGAUGAACAAGGAGAAUUGAGUAAAAAGGGCAAAUAGUUAUUUGUAUAUUACGCUAGCAAAUGUUCAUUGAUUCGAUCUUGGAAGAUUAAAGGUAAAUUAAUGUAUGUUCAUAGCGAAGAUAUUGAAAGGAAGAAUCACAGCGGAUGAAACCAAAGGCGUAGCAUAGAUAAAUAACACUGUCUUAACACGAGGACAUAGACUUUAUACUUAUACAUGUCCAGAUUGAAGUUCAAAAAGGAUAAAGAUUUCUAGGCCGAAGCUAUGAGUAGACAGCUUCGCAUCUUAUUUAAGCAACCUAGGAGACUAAACACAACAAACACAGAGCCGCUUCCUAGCGGUGAAGCCAUACAUAUACAGCUUCACAUGGCAACGAGACAGUUCAGCAGGCUCAAUAUGACGCUCAUGGGGAUGGGACAUAGUCAUCAUCUAUGUGUUGAUGAAUAUCAUCCGCUGAAUCUUCAUCUGAGUGGCCACUGUAGCUCCAUUCAGGCACUUCAUCAUCUGAGUACAUGCCUUUUUCCUCUAGGAACUGAGAUGUCGUAGUUGUAGAGCUUUGAAGCGCGACAAUUGAACUGUGAAUCUCCAUGAUAGCUUGCUUCAUAUUAGAAACACACAUUGAGGUAGCAGGGUCUAAGAAAACGGCAGCAAGGUCUUGGAUUCUGUUUGAUGCAUUGUGCACUUGCUUCACAUAGUUGCAUGCUUCUUUAGUUAUCUGCUUGAUGGUUUUGCUGUGCUGGUUGAUUUCAUCUGACUGUUCUAGCAACCUGGCUGAUAAUCUUGUAUGUGCCAUUUUCAUUUGCUCUAGUUGAUAAUAGUUAUAGUCCACAAGCACCUUACCCUAUUUGUUCUGCAUGUAUUCGAUGGCCUUCUCGGCUGCAUGAUUCAUUGAUGCUACCACAUUCUGACAUAUACGGCUUGAUAAUUUAGUCCGGCACGCUGAAGCAUGGUACCGUGCUUUUGUGCGAUGAAAUUGAAUCUCUGUUCUAAAUCGAUUUUGUGAAAGAUGAUGCACAAAGUACACUGGUUUAGGGAGACCGAGUUUCUCGAACAUUGCUUCAGCCAGUGAUGUGCUGGAUAGCUCAACCAACUCCAUGAGAAUAGAUCCACAAGAUAAACCCAAAGGGUUGGCAGAAGGUAUAAACACAGCAUCCAUUAAGAACAAUAAGCACUGAGCUUUAGAUUAUAUAUAUGCACUAACAAUUAAAGAACUUUGUACUGAACCUAUGGGAAAACGAAAUUUUAAUAUCAUGAGGACAUCGGGAGAGCCAAGCAUGUAUCGGGAUAGGAAAUGAAACCUAUCAGACCCUUCCUCCAACCGAUUUUAUGUGGAUAAGAAAAAAAUAAGAAAGCAUUUAUAUGGACAGUGUAUUGUAAAGCAGGAGUAUGGCUGGAGCUAAAAUAUAAGGAUAUACCUUGGUAAUUAGAUUUGUCCUAGGUGGAGGAUCUUGUUGCCCUUGGUGAGCAUCAGAACGGAUUAACGGAUCUAAGAUGCAAGAAAUCAAAACGAGUUAGAGAGAGAGAGGGAUGGGGAUUUCUCCAUCUAGCAACACCAUGGGGGGGUGAGGAGGAGGGAGCGAGAGGUUCCCAUGAGGAUUACCUGCAAGUUGGCUGGCUGGGAGCUCCUCUGCUUGCGGGGGAUCCAGGCGACCGCGGGUACAAUGCAGGUAGAGAGCAGACGAGGGUGAGCGGAUGAGGGUGAGUAGAUGUGGGAAGGAGAUAAGAACGGGGCAGCAGACAGAAAGAUUUUUUUACAGCAACAGGAUAAGGUUGGGUGGAUGUGGCAGGCUAGAAGAAG